RNAcentral lists this ribosomal RNA (279 nucleotides) under uncultured bacterium. RNAcentral's name for it is "partial 16S ribosomal RNA". It matches the Rfam family "Bacterial small subunit ribosomal RNA", at positions 333 to 629 of the family's 1533-position model. The record is from RNAcentral.
UUGUUCCUACGGGGCGCAGCAGUGGGGAAUAUUGCACAAUGGGGGGAACCCUGAUGCAGCGACGCCGCGUGAGUGAAGAAGUAUUUCGGUAUGUAAAGCUCUAUCAGCAGGGAUGAAAAUGACGGUACCUGACUAAGAAGCCCCGGCUAACUACGUGCCAGCAGCCGCGGUAAUACGUAGGGGGCAAGCGUUAUCCGGAUUUACUGGGUGUAAAGGGGGCGCAGACGGCGAUGCAAGCCAGGAGUGAAAGCCCGGGGCCCAACCCCGGGACUGCUCUUG